GAAUUUUAUAUAAAAAAAAUUAAGUAAUAUAUAAUAGUAUUUAUAUUUAAUUGGGAGGAUUGUUAAAUUUUAAAAACUUUAAUUAAAAAUAAAAUAUAAAUUGAUGAAUUAAAGAGUUGAAUUAUAAAAUAAGAAAGAAUUAAUUACCUUAGGGAUAACAGCGUAAUAUUUUUGGAGAGAUCAUAUUAAUAAAAAUGUUUGC
Molecule: ribosomal RNA, 202 nt
Filed under: Cardiocondyla obscurior
Lineage: Eukaryota; Metazoa; Arthropoda; Insecta; Hymenoptera; Formicidae
Also listed under: 2 other names
Description: partial large subunit ribosomal RNA
Source: RNAcentral